UACACAUGGCGAGGGUCACAACAACACACC
Molecule: non-coding RNA, 30 nt
Filed under: Rattus norvegicus (Norway rat)
Lineage: Eukaryota; Metazoa; Chordata; Mammalia; Rodentia; Muridae
Source: RNAcentral